GUUGGCUGUACCGGAGUUGAAGCUGGAUGGGUGGGCAGGCACCAGGUCUGGGGGCUCCAGAAAGGUUCUUCUGUUAAGGUUAGACUCUAACCUGAUGGUGACUGGCAGGCUGCUAUGCAGGGGAGUCUCCUGGUCACAAAUGGGAAAAUGGAAAUGUCCCCCGGCUGUUUUGGAGGAGGUCAGACUCAAGGCAGCUAGACCAGUUCUGGGCUAUUGCUGCAAUGAAGGCCUGACCCAGGAGUGGAGCUGGAGGGAGGGGUGGAUUCACUGCGACUUCUGGAAUAGAACCACCAGGACUUACUGGCAAAUCAUAGGUGGGGAGAAUGGGAGGGAGGAGGUAGGCUGACUCCCACGUUCCAGGCGGGGCCCUCAGGGCGAUCCUGGGUGAGGAAACCAGGCAAAGAGCUGCAGGAGGAAGAAAGGAGGUGACACGUUGAGUCCCAGGGACCUGUGGAGGUCCAUAUGGAGAUGAAGAUUAGCCCUGAGCUAACAUCUGCCAAUCCUUCUCUUUUUGCUGAGGAAGACUGGCCCUGAGCUGACAUCCAUGCCCAUCUUCCUCUACUUCAUACGUGGGACACCUGCCACAGCAUGGCUUGCCAAGUAGUGCCACGUUCACACCCGCGAUCUGAACCAGUGAACAAUGGGCUGUUGAAGCAGAAUGUGCAAAUCAACCACUGUGCCACCAGGUCAAUUCAAGCCAUCAUCAAGUCGACUCCGACAGCCUGCCGCCCCAUCUCUCUGCCUCUCCCACUGCUGUCCUUACACGGCAGCCAGGGUCUUGAAAGCAUGAAUGACAUCUCUUCCUUGCUCAAAACCCUCCAAAGGCUUUCCAUUGCAAGUGGAAUAAAACUCAGACCUGUUACUACACCCCACGAGGCUCUAUGUGAUCUUGCCUCUCUCCAUUUUCCCCUCGAGCCAGCCUGCCUUCUAUAUGUCAACACGCUAGGCUUAUAGCAACUCAGGGCCUUGCUUAUCUUGAUCCCGUGCCAGGAACCUCUUCCAAUGACAUCUCCCUUCUCAUCAUUGUCUCUUCCUUAGACAGGACUUUCCUAUCCAAGUCUGGCAGAGACUUCUAGUUGUCCUCCAAUAUCUACUCUUCCCUUUUCCCAAAGAAAUGGAACCUCCUAUUUUUAGCUGAGUCCGUAAUCGGCCAGUCUCCCUUAAACUGGUUAUUGCUACUGGCCAAUGCAAUAUAAGAAGAAACAUAACAUGGCAGUUUCCAGAAACCAUUCUUAAAAGAUUAUUGGCACAUACCUUUGCCUUUUAUUCAUUCUGCUGGCUGGCAUGUGACAUGAUGGCUGGAUCUGGAGCAGCCAUCUUAGACCAUGAGGUAAACUUAGAAAUGGAGGCUGUGCACAGCAGAGCAACAGAAUAGAAGGAGCCUGAAUCACUGAGGAUUUCAUGGAGUGCAAUGACCACAACAGACCUGGGUUACUCGCUUCUGGCCUUCUACUUGAGAGAGAAAUAAACUUUUAUCUUGUUUAAACCACUGUUAUUUUGGAUCCUGUUAUCAACUUAAUUCUAAUUGAUAGACUAACCUGGCUAAGGCAGCCUUCUUUUAUAUUUAUCUGUAUUUUUUUCUUCAAAGUACUUAGCACCUGAAAUUACCCUACAUAUUUACUUAUACUUUUAUUUCUUUUUUUAUUGUCUGUCUUCUCCCUUCUGAAAGGUAAACUCCUUGAGGCCAGGGAUCAUCUGACAUUCACUGCUAUAUCCCUUCCCCCUGGAAUACUGCCAUAAUAGGCGCUUCAUAAAUAUUUGUGGGAUGAAUGGGUGAGUGAACACCUACUACGUGCCAGGGAGGGGAGAUACAAAGAUGAUUAGCAUGCUGUUUCCUGAGUCCCUUGCUUGAGAAGCUCACGGUUUCGUGGGGACUGACUUUCUAGUUUGAAGCGGCCAUCAUCCUCAUUGGAUUCAUCUAGAACAGUGGUUCUCAGCCACGGGCAGUUUUGCCCCCCAAGGGACAUUUGUCAAUCUCUGGAAACAUGUUUGAUUGUUACAAGUUGGAAGAUGCUCCCAGAAUCCAGAGACUGGAGCUCAGGGAUGCUGCUAAACAUGCUACCAUGCAGGGGACAGCCCCCACAACAGAGAAUUACUUGGCCCCAAAGGCCAAUAGUGCUGAGGUUGAGAAACCAUGACCCAGCAAAGGUCAAUGCCAAUUAGAUCUGCCGGGGGCGGGGGGGAACUGUUCGGGCUGCACGUGCCAUGGGGCCUCUGUUGUUGUUAGUGAGUGUGCCGGAUUAAACCCCAAGUAGAGGUCAGCUGAGUUGUCAAAUUCUGCAAAGCUCUCUCAUGGAGAGGCCAACCCCAACCAUGAUCCUUUACUUGUCUCGUGGUCCAUGUUCUGAGGACAAUGUGAACUUGGAACAGGUAAAAUUCUGUCCAGGACUCUAGAAACCAAGCCAGAGAAGCUCUCCAAACAGUAUCAUCAUUGAUAUGAAGAACUCCAACGUGAAUCUUCACUUCACCUGUUUUCCUUGGGAAGGCUGAGAGACCUCACGCCGCACUGCUCUCUGCUGUCAUAAAUCUCUUCUCUAUUUCUGUUUGGGUGAAAGGAGCGUAUCUACUUUCACGGUCCUCCUGCAAAAUGUAAUUUUCUCUUGCAGAUAAACAAAUGAUAGAUGAGGGUAGUCUACCGGACCGGAGAUUAUGGAGGUGAUGGUCCUGGGCCACUUCCUAUUUUAACUAUUAGGGUUUUUUUUGUUUGGUUUGGGUUUUUUUUUAGCUUUCCAGUUUGUUAGACACUGAUGCGCUUGGUGACCUUGGCAGGACACUUCAUCUCCCUGAGCCUCAGUUUCCUCAUCAGCAGACUCAGGGAGCUGGAUCAGGCCAUGGCUUAAUGGUCUUCUACUCUAAAUAACCACAAUGAUUCACUUAUCACCUGCUACCAGCAGAAAAUUGAUGGUGACACAUGCCUGGGUUUGAAGAAAUAAAUUUGAAAAUAAAGGAAAGACUAUGGUGAUUUGUAGCAUCAAUGUUCCCCGCCACACCCCUCCCGAUUUUCAAAAAUAAAACAUCAGCAUUAAUCUUUGGAACAGCAGUUCCUAAGAUAUGUUUCUUAGAACAUAGCUCCUUAAGAUAUUAAAAUGGGACUCUAUGUCAAAAAAGUUGGACAGCAGGGGCUGGCCCCCUGGCCGAGUGGUUAGGUUCGCGCGCUCUGCUGCAAGCGGCCCAGUGUUUCGUUGGUUCGAAUCCUGGGCGUGGACAUGGCACUGCUCAUCAAACCACGCUGAGGCAGCGUCCCACAUGCCACAACUAGAAGGACGCACAACGAAGAAUAUACAACUAUGUACUGGGGGGCUUUGGGGAGAAAAAGGAAAAAAUAAAAUCUUUUAAAAAAAAAAAACAAAGUUGGACAGC
This 3360-nucleotide long non-coding RNA is filed under the name Equus caballus (horse). RNAcentral's name for it is "lncRNA (ENSECAG00000053970.1)". Lineage: Eukaryota; Metazoa; Chordata; Mammalia; Perissodactyla; Equidae. The record is from RNAcentral.